UAGGGAAUCUUCCGCAAUGGACGAAAGUCUGACGGAGCAACGCCGCGUGAGUGAAGAAGGUUUUCGGAUUGUAAAGCUCUGUUGUUAGGGAAGAACACGUACGAGAGUAACUGCUCGUACCUUGACGGUACCUAACCAGAAAGCCACGGCUAACUACGUGCCAGCAGCCGCGGUAAUACGUAGGUGGCAAGCGUUGUCCGGAAUUAUUGGGCGUAAAGCGCGCGCAGGCGGUUCCUUAAGUCUGAUGUGAAAGCCCCCGGCUCAACCGGGGAGGGUCAUUGGAAACUGGGGAACUUGAGUGCAGGAGAGGAAAGCGGAAUUCCACGUGUAGCGGUGAAAUGCGUAGAUAUGUGGAGGAACACCAGUGGCGAAGGCGGCUGUCUGGUCUGUAACUGACGCUGAGGCGCGAAAGCGUGGGGAGCAGACAGGAUUAGAUACCCUGGUAGUCCACGCCGUAAACGAUGAGUGCUAAGUGUUGGGGGGUUUCCGCCCGUCAGUGCUGCAG
This 505-nucleotide ribosomal RNA is filed under the name uncultured Bacillota bacterium. Its description in RNAcentral is "bacterial SSU rRNA". It matches the Rfam family "Bacterial small subunit ribosomal RNA", at positions 355 to 851 of the family's 1533-position model. Lineage: Bacteria; Bacillati; Bacillota. The record is from RNAcentral.